Molecule: non-coding RNA, 242 nt
Filed under: uncultured Ochromonas
Lineage: Eukaryota; Chrysophyceae; Chromulinales; Chromulinaceae
Source: RNAcentral
ACAAGUAGUAAAUAUUCUCGAGAACAUUAUCAUUUCUCGCAACCUUACGGAGAUUCCUCUUCAGAGGAUAGUGAAGGCAGAAAAUCAUUGUCUCAUUAUGAAGGUGGUGAUGCAUUCGGUGUGUCUAUGGAUUCAAUAUCAAUGUUUGGUAAAAUGUUAGCAGUGGGGCUCCUAGUCUUCAUGAAUCGAAGUCAUUCGUCGAAUUAACUGUUUUAAAGACGUGUCCCCUGUUAAAAGAAGGA